UACUACGUCUACAGUUCUGUGGUC
This 24-nucleotide non-coding RNA is filed under the name Arabidopsis thaliana (thale cress). The record is from RNAcentral. Lineage: Eukaryota; Viridiplantae; Streptophyta; Magnoliopsida; Brassicales; Brassicaceae.